UACAUCUGAGUAUGAAUUAGUCUUAUCCAAUAAGUUAGGAAUACCUCCGAUUUUAUCAAGAAGAUUAUUUAUUUUUUGGUAGGAUAAGAAGAUUAAAUUUAAUAUCAACGGAAAUUUCGUAUAGUGAGAAAAUUCACAGGACGUGUCUGUUUCUCCAGUAUUUGGCACGGGAAUUUCAUUACCAGUCCACCGCCUCUAUCCCCCGCCCCAACAGGCCUUUAUAGGACCGAGCUCUAGCCCUCAGCCGCCUGCCAAUCAUCAUAUCUUCCCACUCUCGCGCUCCGCCGUCUCAUCCGACAUCCGCUGCAGAUUGAUUUGAUAAGAGAUGCUGAUCACCAUCGAUACCAUUUUCAAGAGAACAACCCUAGAAGUGGAGCCGAGCGACACGGUCGAAAGCCUGAGGGAGAAGAUCUGGGAAUUGGAGGGAAUCCGGCCAUCCCAGCUACGCCUCAUCUACGGAUGGAAGCAACUCGAGGGUGGCCAGACACUUGCCAGCUACCACAUCUGGGAAUAUUCGUCCAUCAAGGGCGUCAUCCGCCUCCGUGGCGGGGUCAAGUAGCGGGAAAUGGAUCAGGAAAAUAUAGAAGAAGAAAGCGAAGCUCUCGUCCUCUGUCAGCAUUCGAAACGCUAACGGUUCAGGUCAAAUGUAUUUGCCCAAUAAUAAGGAAGAGGGAAGAAGGGCGUUCUCAUCUAUCCUUUACAAUCCAUUGGAGGCAAAGGGCCAAGAGAUCUCCAACUUUACACCCAUACAUGGGCCAUUUGAAGUGAGUUGUUUGAGAUGCAUUAGCAGCAGUCAUCCUGUUAUGUGAAAGCCGUGUCCCAGAAGUACGAAUUAAUUAAAGGCCGUUGGCUCGGUAUUAUAUUACUAUAGGGUACUACCAGUGACAAAAUGUGUGUGUUAGUUUCAAUGGCAUAGCCUGCAAUGGCGAGUUCGCGUCAUGACACACUACCUGUUUCAUCUCCCUCACUCUUGUAGCCCAAGAAAAGCCAGCCG
This is a non-coding RNA of Punica granatum (pomegranate), 994 nucleotides long. NCBI's taxonomy places the organism in Eukaryota, Viridiplantae, Streptophyta, Magnoliopsida, Myrtales, Lythraceae. The record is from RefSeq and is a predicted model, not a curated record.